GGAUCGAUGAUGACACCCUUGUAUACAUUCCUUGGAAAAUCUGAACAAAAUGCAUGAGAACACUCUACUGUCUCCUCAUCGAAACUGAGGUCC
This is a small nucleolar RNA of Balaenoptera ricei (Rice's whale), 93 nucleotides long. RefSeq annotates it as small nucleolar RNA SNORD116. The record is from RefSeq and is a predicted model, not a curated record. NCBI's taxonomy places the organism in Eukaryota, Metazoa, Chordata, Mammalia, Artiodactyla, Balaenopteridae. The transcript has a single exon.